AGGAGACGGAGGAUGAGGAGGAAGAGAAAGAAGUGACCCCUGAGUCAGGCCCCCUAAAGGAGGAGGAGGAAGAUGGGGGCCUGCAGAUCAAUGUGGAUGAGGAACCAUUUGUGCUGCCCCCUGCUGGGGAGACGGAGCAGGAUAUCCUUGCAGGGCAGAGUGAAGAGUUAGGAGGAAGAUGCUUGGGAGAGGGAUUUCCAGGCCCUAGGACAUCAUGACACAGUUCCUUAACAGGCCCACAUGCCCAGGCUCCAGACCUGCAACGAGUUCACAGGCGGAUCCAGGAUAUUGUGGGAAUUCUGCGUGAUUUUGGGGCUCAGCGGGAGGAAGGGCGGUCUCGUUCUGAAUACCUGAACCGGCUCAAGAAGGAUCUGGCCACUUACUACUCCUAUGGAGACUUCCUGCUUGGCAAGCUCAUGGACCUCUUCCCUCUGUCUGAGCUGGUGGAGUUCUUAGAAGCUAAUGAGGUGCCUCGGCCUGUCACCCUCCGGACCAAUACCUUGAAAACUCGACGCCGAGACCUUGCGCAGGCUCUAAUCAAUCGUGGGGUUAACCUGGAUCCCCUGGGCAAGUGGUCAAAGACUGGACUAGUGGUGUAUGAUUCUUCUGUGCCCAUUGGUAAGUCUCCCCCACCCAAGAGCCCUUCUACCUCUGUCCCUGUCCCUACCGCAUGUCACAGGGUGGUCCUCCUCCGCAGGUGCUACCCCCGAGUACCUGGCUGGGCACUACAUGCUGCAGGGAGCCUCCAGCAUGUUGCCCGUCAUGGCCUUGGCACCCCAGGAACAUGAGCGGAUCCUGGACAUGUGUUGUGCCCCUGGAGGAAAGACCAGCUACAUGGCCCAGCUGAUGAAGAACACAGGUGUGAUCCUUGCCAAUGACGCCAAUGCUGAGCGGCUCAAGAGUGUUGUGGGCAACUUGCAUCGGCUGGGAGUCACCAACACCGUUAUCAGCCACUAUGAUGGGCGCCAGUUCC
Molecule: small RNA, 973 nt
Filed under: Pongo abelii (Sumatran orangutan)
Lineage: Eukaryota; Metazoa; Chordata; Mammalia; Primates; Hominidae
Description: retained intron
Source: RNAcentral